AGCGAACGCUGGCGGCAGGCUUAACACAUGCAAGUCGAGCGGGCGUAGCAAUACGUCAGCGGCAGACGGGUGAGUAACGCGUGGGAACGUACCUUUUGGUUCGGAACAACACAGGGAAACUUGUGCUAAUACCGGAUAAGCCCUUACGGGGAAAGAUUUAUCGCCGAAAGAUCGGCCCGCGUCUGAUUAGCUAGUUGGUGAGGUAACGGCUCACCAAGGCGACGAUCAGUAGCUGGUCUGAGAGGAUGAUCAGCCACAUUGGGACUGAGACACGGCCCAAACUCCUACGGGAGGCAGCAGUGGGGAAUAUUGGACAAUGGGCGCAAGCCUGAUCCAGCCAUGCCGCGUGAGUGAUGAAGGCCCUAGGGUUGUAAAGCUCUUUUGUGCGGGAAGAUAAUGACG
RNAcentral lists this ribosomal RNA (402 nucleotides) under Bradyrhizobiaceae bacterium Ellin7088. Its description in RNAcentral is "bacterial SSU rRNA". It matches the Rfam family "Bacterial small subunit ribosomal RNA", at positions 29 to 456 of the family's 1533-position model. Lineage: Bacteria; Pseudomonadati; Pseudomonadota; Alphaproteobacteria; Hyphomicrobiales; Nitrobacteraceae. The record is from RNAcentral.